Molecule: ribosomal RNA, 270 nt
Filed under: uncultured archaeon
Lineage: Archaea
Description: partial 16S ribosomal RNA
Rfam family: Archaeal small subunit ribosomal RNA
Source: RNAcentral
CAGCACCCCGAGUGGUCGGGACGAUUAUUGGGCCUAAAGCAUCCGUAGCCGGUCCCACGAGUCCUCCGUUAAAUCCAACUGCUGAACAGAUGGGCCGCGGAGGAUACUAUGGGGCUAGGAGGCAGGAGAGGCAAGCGGUACUCAGUGGGUAGGGGUAAAAUCCGUUGAUCCACUGAAGACCACCAGUGGCGAAGGCGGCUUGCCAGAAUGCGCUCGACGGUGAGGGAUGAAAGCUGGGGGAGCAAACCGGAUUAGAUACCCGAGUAGUCC